CAAACAUAAGUGAUGUUUUAAGAAAAGGAAGCUAAAAGGCCUUUAGCAUCAGAAGGAUAUUGGAUGUUAUGAAUGUGAAUUAUAGGUCUACUGACCCUUCCCAAUCCCAUAUAAAAGCACCCUCAGUACAAGACUCUACAUCCAGUUUCAUUCAUCGACCCUUGAUCAACGCCUUCAGAGAGACUGAUCGGCAGCCAACUCAAGAUGUCUCUGACUCCCCUGGAAUCAGCCUUGCAAACUCUUGCCAGCGUUAUCAACCAAUACAAGGUGGAAGGAACGAAUCCUCCUGGGCUUAUCAAGGAAGAACUGGAGACACAAACCAAUGAGCAGCGCCUAUACAGGCUACUGAGCACUGAAGAUGUACCGGUAGAAGUACUUAUGACAUUGUCUGGGCAAAAGAGACUGUUGCUGGCACUCCAACUGUUAGAUGAACGCUCCUUGAGGAACUGAAUUAGCAACAAGGAGAAGACAGCGAGAGGGGGUUACUAAGGGAUCUCCACUAACGUAUACCAGAAUUGUUGGGAAACUCCUUUCAAUAAACAGACAAA
Eublepharis macularius is the source of this 548-nucleotide long non-coding RNA. RefSeq lists it as uncharacterized. Lineage: Eukaryota; Metazoa; Chordata; Lepidosauria; Squamata; Eublepharidae. The record is from RefSeq and is a predicted model, not a curated record. The transcript has 3 exons.